Molecule: transfer RNA, 70 nt
Filed under: Dipodomys ordii (Ord's kangaroo rat)
Lineage: Eukaryota; Metazoa; Chordata; Mammalia; Rodentia; Heteromyidae
Rfam family: tRNA
About the family: Transfer RNA (tRNA) molecules are approximately 80 nucleotides in length. Their secondary structure includes four short double-helical elements and three loops (D, anti-codon, and T loops).
Source: Rfam by way of RNAcentral
GGGAAUGUGACUUAGAGUUAGAGUGCUUGCCUGGCAUGCAUGAAGCCCUGAGUUCAAUUCCUCAGUGCCA